UACGGAGGGGGCUAGCGUUGUUCGGAAUUACUGGGCGUAAAGCGCGCGUAGGCGGCUUUGCAAGUCGGGUGUGAAAUCCCCAGGCUUAACCUGGGAACUGCAUUCGAGACUGCAUUGCUAGAGUAUGGGAGAGGGAAGUGGAAUUUCCGGUGUAGCGGUGAAAUGCGUAGAUAUCGUAAGGAAGACCAGUGGCGAAGGCGGGUCUCUGGACAGUUCCUGACGCUGAGGCACGAAGGCCAGGGGAGCAAACGGG
Molecule: ribosomal RNA, 253 nt
Filed under: uncultured bacterium
Lineage: Bacteria
Description: partial 16S ribosomal RNA
Rfam family: Bacterial small subunit ribosomal RNA
Source: RNAcentral